CAAGUUACUCACAUGAAAGGCAUAGCCAGCCAUCAUGACCCCGAGUCAUGCCUCAAUAGCCCGCAAUGGAAUGGGGAAGCGUUAACAGGGGAAAACGCAGGCACCCUAUUGAUCUCCAACUCCCAUACCGCUGUUCCAAAACCC
This is a non-coding RNA of Chlorobium ferrooxidans DSM 13031, 144 nucleotides long. The record is from Rfam. NCBI's taxonomy places the organism in Bacteria, Pseudomonadati, Chlorobiota, Chlorobiia, Chlorobiales, Chlorobiaceae.